RNAcentral lists this ribosomal RNA (468 nucleotides) under uncultured bacterium. RNAcentral describes it as "partial 16S ribosomal RNA". It matches the Rfam family "Bacterial small subunit ribosomal RNA", at positions 28 to 507 of the family's 1533-position model. The record is from RNAcentral.
GACGAACGCUGGCGGCGUGCUUAACACAUGCAAGUCGAACGGAAAGGCCCUGCUUUUGUGGGGUGCUCGAGUGGCGAACGGGUGAGUAACACGUGAGUAACCUGCCCUUGACUUUGGGAUAACUUCAGGAAACUGGGGCUAAUACCGGAUAGGAGCUCCUGCUGCAUGGUGGGGGUUGGAAAGUUUCGGCGGUUGGGGAUGGACUCGCGGCUUAUCAGCUUGUUGGUAGGGUAGUGGCUUACCAAGGCUUUGACGGGUAGCCGGCCUGAGAGGGUGACCGGCCACAUUGGGACUGAGAGACGGCCCAGACUCCUACGGGAGGCAGCAGUGGGGAAUAUUGCACAAUGGGCGGAAGCCUGAUGCAGCAACGCCGCGUGCGGGAUGACGGCCUUCGGGUUGUAAACCGCUUUCGCCUGUGACGAAGCGUGAGUGACGGUAAUGGGUAAAGAAGCACCGGCUAACUACGUG